RNAcentral lists this transfer RNA (70 nucleotides) under Abbottina rivularis (Chinese false gudgeon). Its description in RNAcentral is "tRNA-Arg". It matches the Rfam family "tRNA". From Rfam's summary of the family: Transfer RNA (tRNA) molecules are approximately 80 nucleotides in length. Their secondary structure includes four short double-helical elements and three loops (D, anti-codon, and T loops). Lineage: Eukaryota; Metazoa; Chordata; Actinopteri; Cypriniformes; Gobionidae. The record is from RNAcentral.
UGGAGGCUAGUCUAAAACAAGACCUCUGAUUUCGACUCAGAGAAUCGUGGUUUAAACCCACGGCCCCCUU